UAGAUUUUGAAGUGUCAUUGAAUGUGGAUCGAGUUAAUACAUUAUCAGAAAUGGAUGCUGAACUAGAAAGACAAUUAGAAAGUUCAACGAAUCUGAAGAUGGUUUUAAGAAGACAAAGGAAUGAGAUGAUGAAAGAAAUGCUUGCAG
Helianthus annuus (common sunflower) is the source of this 147-nucleotide long non-coding RNA. RefSeq lists it as uncharacterized. The record is from RefSeq and is a predicted model, not a curated record. The transcript has 2 exons. Lineage: Eukaryota; Viridiplantae; Streptophyta; Magnoliopsida; Asterales; Asteraceae.